AUUCCAUUUGAUCACUUUGCAAACAUUAUGGGAACAUUACUUCUGAAUGUUCACUGAAUGUUCAAAACGUCCAGUUUUGAAAAUAAUUUGAAAAGUUUUUUUUCUGGUUAUGCAAAUGUUAGAAAUGUUCAGGUUUAUAAUUUUGCAAACAUAGGAACUUUCGAAUGUUCUCUGAACAUUCUGAAACAUUUUUAAAAAAUGUCCAAAGACAUGUAAAAAGUUUUGGGGAAAAAUGUUCCAUGAAUAAUAACCUUUUAAAGAUCAGAUAACUUUGAAGAAGUGUUCUAACGCUACUGGAAGAACGUUUGUCAACCUUAGCCAAAGUUCUGAGAAUUCUAAGAUCUGACGGAACGUUUUUAGUAUGUUCUGGCAAGUUAUGAGCAACCAUUCUUCCAGUAACAUUAACAGAACGUUCAUUCAAAGUUAUGAGGUUUUUAAUAAUGUUCUCAAAACGACAGGACAUGCUAUGGAACUUGUUUUCUGAAAAGAUUUGGUUGGAACGUUUUUUUAAAUGUUACUCCUUCCUUCGGAACAUGCAGAGAACAUUCAAAAGUAACAUUCGCAAAAUCUUUGCAAAAAAUGGAAUGUUCCCUGAACGUUCUCAUAACCAACAAAAACGUUUUUGUAUUAAAAAAAAAACUAGAAGGGAAGGUAAAUGAUUGGUUUAAUGCUCAUUUGAGAUUUCAUCUUUCCAGGCUGCGUCCUAAACCCUUGUUUGAGGUUCCCUGUACACCUGUAAUUGUUUAUUCGGAGACGCGAGGCCCGGCGCAGAUGCUCUUAUCCAAAGUGACUGUGCUGGCAAACCAAAUGCUGAGGAAAAAACUUGACAAAUGCAAAGAGGGUAAGUUCAAGUUAGCAAUUAAAAACAUUCUAAAUGCAUCUGAAAUAUUUACUUAAGCAUGUCUGUUCAAACAAUCAAACAGCACAUUGGUUUGGUCCUCCACUAGGGGGCGUGUUAUGCUGAUAAUUCGCACGCUCUUAUGUGUUUAUGACUCAGACUUGUUGCAUUCUUGCAUUAUUUCUCAUGUGCACUAAUAUUGUCCCACUGUAAGUAGGUUUACCGUGGUGAACUGGGCCACUGCAGCAUAUUACAGACUCACCUGGGGACUUUUUUAUCAUCUUUAAAAGCUGCAUUUAUAUCUCAAGUUCAUUUGACUGAUUUGUGAUAAAAUUCAACAUGAUAAAUUGCAUAAAUGGCAAAUUUGAUCAAUUUAAAUGCAACUUUAGUUGAUGUGAAUGCAAAAUAAUUUUAUUUAUAGAUAUAUGUGAAAUAUAAUAUAUAUUUGCUAAUGUAUUUCAAAAUAUAUUUGCAUAAAUAUAUUUUCUAUCAAUAUAGUUUUUUGGAAAUGUUUCGUAUGUUUUUUGAAAGUACAUUUUAAAAAUAUAAAUAUAUUUUUAAAAGUAUAUAUUAAGUACAUAUGAAGCCUACAUUGCCGUAUAUUUGAAUCCAAGAAAAUACAUUCGCAUUUGAAGAAAACUUUAUUUGUUGUCUAUAACACGUGUGAUCAAAUAACACAUAUGAAUAUAUAAAAGCGAGGAACAAACCUUUACAAUGUUUAAAAAGAGUACAUUGUUACAAUAUAUAAAUAAAAAAUUAAGCAUUAUGAAGUCAUUACAAUAAUUAGCCUAAAUGUAGAAUAUUGUAAGAUUGGACAUGUGUUUUCUU
Molecule: long non-coding RNA, 1666 nt
Organism: Cyprinus carpio carpio
Lineage: Eukaryota; Metazoa; Chordata; Actinopteri; Cypriniformes; Cyprinidae
Source: Ensembl